RNAcentral lists this ribosomal RNA (255 nucleotides) under Providencia rettgeri. Its description in RNAcentral is "partial 16S ribosomal RNA". It matches the Rfam family "Bacterial small subunit ribosomal RNA", at positions 886 to 1141 of the family's 1533-position model. Lineage: Bacteria; Pseudomonadati; Pseudomonadota; Gammaproteobacteria; Enterobacterales; Morganellaceae. The record is from RNAcentral. RNAcentral also lists the same sequence under 1 other name.
CCGCAAGGUUAAAACUCAAAUGAAUUGACGGGGGCCCGCACAAGCGGUGGAGCAUGUGGUUUAAUUCGAUGCAACGCGAAGAACCUUACCUACUCUUGACAUCCAGAGAAUUUAGCAGAGAUGCUUUAGUGCCUUCGGGAACUCUGAGACAGGUGCUGCAUGGCUGUCGUCAGCUCGUGUUGUGAAAUGUUGGGUUAAGUCCCGCAACGAGCGCAACCCUUAUCCUUUGUUGCCAGCGAUUCGGUCGGGAACUCA